UUGUGACAGAAUAAAUGUAAUAAAUUUAAAAUUUAUAAAUGAAAUCAAUUCCUAUAGAA
RNAcentral lists this transfer RNA (59 nucleotides) under Baeoalitriozus yangi. RNAcentral's name for it is "tRNA-Leu". The record is from RNAcentral. Lineage: Eukaryota; Metazoa; Arthropoda; Insecta; Hemiptera; Triozidae.